Molecule: long non-coding RNA, 375 nt
Organism: Dreissena polymorpha
Lineage: Eukaryota; Metazoa; Mollusca; Bivalvia; Myida; Dreissenidae
Exons: 2
Source: RefSeq, a predicted model, not a curated record
GUAGGAUUACCGUAAGUCGACCAUGACCUAAUUUCGACCACUUUGUUUACAUUAAAAACGCGGCCAUUUGGAUGACGUCACACGCAAGCGCUCCGAGUAUUUCGAUGAAGUGACAUAACUACGCUUAUAAACAAAAACAAAUAAAAACAAAAUGAGGAAAAAACAGGCUUAUCUCAAACAAUUUUGUAAAAUGGGCACAGUGUGACAAUAGAGCCUGCAACCACUGGGUACACCUGUCAUUUUGUACAGAAAUUAAAGUCAUCAGAAGAGGUGCAACAUUUAUGUGCCCAUGCUGUGCUAAAGAAGAGUGAAAAUUGUUCUUAAGAAAAGUGAAAGAAACAUGUUCAAUUGUAUUUAUAAAAUAUUGAAAACAUA